RNAcentral lists this ribosomal RNA (915 nucleotides) under Lactiplantibacillus plantarum. RNAcentral describes it as "bacterial SSU rRNA". It matches the Rfam family "Bacterial small subunit ribosomal RNA", at positions 379 to 1288 of the family's 1533-position model. Lineage: Bacteria; Bacillati; Bacillota; Bacilli; Lactobacillales; Lactobacillaceae. The record is from RNAcentral.
UAGUCUGAUGGAGCACGCCGCGUGAGUGAAGAAGGGUUUCGGCUCGUAAAACUCUGUUGUUAAAGAAGAACAUAUCUGAGAGUAACUGUUCAGGUAUUGACGGUAUUUAACCAGAAAGCCACGGCUAACUACGUGCCAGCAGCCGCGGUAAUACGUAGGUGGCAAGCGUUGUCCGGAUUUAUUGGGCGUAAAGCGAGCGCAGGCGGUUUUUUAAGUCUGAUGUGAAAGCCUUCGGCUCAACCGAAGAAGUGCAUCGGAAACUGGGAAACUUGAGUGCAGAAGAGGACAGUGGAACUCCAUGUGUAGCGGUGAAAUGCGUAGAUAUAUGGAAGAACACCAGUGGCGAAGGCGGCUGUCUGGUCUGUAACUGACGCUGAGGCUCGAAAGUAUGGGUAGCAAACAGGAUUAGAUACCCUGGUAGUCCAUACCGUAAACGAUGAAUGCUAAGUGUUGGAGGGUUUCCGCCCUUCAGUGCUGCAGCUAACGCAUUAAGCAUUCCGCCUGGGGAGUACGGCCGCAAGGCUGAAACUCAAAGGAAUUGACGGGGGCCCGCACAAGCGGUGGAGCAUGUGGUUUAAUUCGAAGCUACGCGAAGAACCUUACCAGGUCUUGACAUACUAUGCAAAUCUAAGAGAUUAGACGUUCCCUUCGGGGACAUGGAUACAGGUGGUGCAUGGUUGUCGUCAGCUCGUGUCGUGAGAUGUUGGGUUAAGUCCCGCAACGAGCGCAACCCUUAUUAUCAGUUGCCAGCAUUAAGUUGGGCACUCUGGUGAGACUGCCGGUGACAAACCGGAGGAAGGUGGGGAUGACGUCAAAUCAUCAUGCCCCUUAUGACCUGGGCUACACACGUGCUACAAUGGAUGGUACAACGAGUUGCGAACUCGCGAGAGUAAGCUAAUCUCUUAAAGCCAUUUC